CGCGCUCUUUUAGUAGCGAGCGGCAAACGGGUGAGUAACGCGUGGGAAUCUACCCAUUUCUACGGAAGUAACACAGAGAAAUUUGUGCUAAUACCGUAUACGUCCCUUUAGGGAGUAAAGAUUUAUCGGAGAUGGAUGAGCCCGCGUUGGAUUAGCUAGUUGGUGAGGUAACGGCGUACACCAAGGCGACGAUCCAUAGCUGGUCUGAGAGGAUGAUCAGCCACACUGGGACUGAGACACGGCCCAG
This 247-nucleotide ribosomal RNA is filed under the name uncultured bacterium. RNAcentral's name for it is "partial 16S ribosomal RNA". It matches the Rfam family "Bacterial small subunit ribosomal RNA", at positions 67 to 334 of the family's 1533-position model. The record is from RNAcentral.